Molecule: long non-coding RNA, 668 nt
Filed under: Dasypus novemcinctus (nine-banded armadillo)
Lineage: Eukaryota; Metazoa; Chordata; Mammalia; Cingulata; Dasypodidae
Description: lncRNA (ENSDNOG00000052312.1)
Source: RNAcentral
CCUAAGUCUUCCCUCCUGGGUUUGGAGGCAAGCUGGAGAAAACUUCUUGGAAGAGAUGUCCCCUGAGUAUUAGGAAUUAUCUUAGUUCUUACUUUUUCCCCACGGCUUCAGGGAUAAAAAAGCCUACUGGUCUCUCUGGAGGAAGAAUUGAUGCUUAGAAACACAGGUACAGGGCUAAUGUCUUCACCAUGUGCCUCCAGGUUCAUAAUACAUGCUCCUUGGCUUCAUUUUACAGAUGAGGAAAAGGCAGACAUGGAAGGGUGACUUUCAAGGAACUCAAGAAUAUCAGAUUUUGAACAUUUUGGCAAAAUGUCAGAGAUUGGUUGCAAAGCAAAUCUAUCUACAAACAAAUUAAUGCCAGAUGUGUUUUCUGACUCAGGAUGCCUUGCUCUGCUUCUCUCUGGUUUCUGAGAUAUUCCAAGUCCAUGGGUCAAGUCUCAUUUCCAAAAUAUAAUUGAAAGAAAAUAUAUAAUGCCUGGAAUAUAGUAGAUGUUCAAGAAAAUGAGUAAUGCCGCCUUUCUUCUUCCUCUUCUUGUUUUCAAGAAUGUACCCGUGGUACUAAAAAGACUAUUUUUUGUUUUGAAUGUUUAAUUGUACUACAAUAUAAACCAUAUGGGGUCAUUUCUAAAUGCUGCUUGGGGAUGAGAGUCCUCUUGAUCCUACCCCUG